AGCAAUGAUACAUAGCAUAUCCUAUGUGAGA
RNAcentral lists this non-coding RNA (31 nucleotides) under Rattus norvegicus (Norway rat). Lineage: Eukaryota; Metazoa; Chordata; Mammalia; Rodentia; Muridae. The record is from RNAcentral.